This is a small nucleolar RNA of Hemicordylus capensis (graceful crag lizard), 181 nucleotides long. RefSeq annotates it as small nucleolar RNA SNORA23. The record is from RefSeq and is a predicted model, not a curated record. Lineage: Eukaryota; Metazoa; Chordata; Lepidosauria; Squamata; Cordylidae. The transcript has a single exon.
AGUCACACAUGUGCAUGGUUUCCAAUCUAUGUCUGGUGGUAUGGUCCAUUUGCGUUCUGCAUUUAGACAAUACUGCUCACAUAUAGUCUGUGGCCAAAGAACAAGUUGAGAUCAUAGUACUGGUCUAGUGAUGUCGAAAGACAAGCUUUCCACUGAUCAGCCUCCAAAUUCUCAAACAUGC